RNAcentral lists this ribosomal RNA (270 nucleotides) under uncultured soil bacterium. Its description in RNAcentral is "partial 16S ribosomal RNA". It matches the Rfam family "Bacterial small subunit ribosomal RNA", at positions 26 to 279 of the family's 1533-position model. The record is from RNAcentral.
AGAAUCAACGCUGGCGGCGUGCCUCAGACAUGCAAGUCGAACGCGAAAGUUCCCUUCGGGGAACGAGUAGAGUGGCGCACGGGUGAGUAACACGUAGGUAAUCUACCUUUGGAUGGGGAAUAACAACCGGAAACGGUUGCUAAUACCGCAUGAUGCAGCGGCACCUAAUGGUGACAGUUGUUAAAGCGGGGGAUCGAAAGACCUCGCGUCUGAAGAGGAGCCUGCGGCGGAUUAGCUAGUUGGUAAGGUAAUGGCUUACCAAGGCUACGA